GCUGGAGAACUGAGGGGGGCUGCUCCUAGUACGAGAGGACCGGAGUGGACGCAUCACUGGUGUUCGGGUUGUCAUGCCAAUGGCACUGCCCGGUAGCUAAAUGCGGAAGAGAUAAGUGCUGAAAGCAUCUAAGCACGAAACUUGCCCCGAGAUGAGUUCUCCCUGACUCCUUGAGAGUCCUGAAGGAACGUUGAAGACGACGACGUUGAUAGGCCGGGUGUGUAAGCGCAGCGAUGCGUUGAGCUAACCGGUACUAAUGAACCGUGAGGCUUAACCUUACAACGCCGAAGGUGUUU
Molecule: ribosomal RNA, 296 nt
Filed under: Escherichia coli
Lineage: Bacteria; Pseudomonadati; Pseudomonadota; Gammaproteobacteria; Enterobacterales; Enterobacteriaceae
Description: partial 23S ribosomal RNA
Rfam family: Bacterial large subunit ribosomal RNA
Source: RNAcentral